RNAcentral lists this ribosomal RNA (326 nucleotides) under uncultured eukaryote. Its description in RNAcentral is "partial 18S ribosomal RNA". It matches the Rfam family "Eukaryotic small subunit ribosomal RNA", at positions 1470 to 1796 of the family's 1831-position model. The record is from RNAcentral.
CCCUUAGAUGUUCUGGGCCGCACGCGCGCUACACUGAUAAUGUCAACAAGCUUUACCUUGGCCGAUAGGUCUGGGCAAUCUUCGAACUAUUAUCGUGAUGGGGCUAGAUUAUUGCAACUAUUAAUCUUAAACGAGGAAUUCCUAGUAAGCGCGAGUCAUCAGCUCGCGUUGAUUACGUCCCUGCCCUUUGUACACACCGCCCGUCGCUCCUACCGAUUGGAUUGGCCGGUGAAGCGUUCGGAUUGUGGGUUCGGAGCGGUUCGCCGUUCUGGGCUUGCGAGAAGUUCGUUAAACCCUCCUAUCUAGAGGAAGGAGAAGUCGUAACA